This 758-nucleotide ribosomal RNA is filed under the name uncultured Lactobacillus sp. RNAcentral describes it as "bacterial SSU rRNA". It matches the Rfam family "Bacterial small subunit ribosomal RNA", at positions 741 to 1502 of the family's 1533-position model. The record is from RNAcentral. Lineage: Bacteria; Bacillati; Bacillota; Bacilli; Lactobacillales; Lactobacillaceae.
UGACGCUGAGCUCGAAAGCAUGGGUAGCGAACAGGAUUAGAUACCCUGGUAGUCCAUGCCGUAAACGAUGAGUGCUAAGUGUUGGAGGGUUUCCCCCUUCAGUGCUGCAGCUAACGCAUUAAGCACUCCGCCUGGGGAGUACGACCGCAAGGUUGAAACUCAAAGGAAUUGACGGGGGCCCGCACAGCGGUGGAGCAUGUGGUUUAAUUCGAAGCUACGCGAAGAACCUUACCAGGUCUUGACAUCUUCUGCCAAUCUUAGAGAUAAGACGUUCCCUUCGGGGACAGAAUGACAGGUGGUGCAUGGUUGUCGUCAGCUCGUGUCGUGAGAUGUUGGGUUAAGUCCCGCAACGAGCGCAACCCUUAUUAUCAGUUGCCAGCAUUCAGUUGGGCACUCUGGUGAGACUGCCGGUGACAAACCGGAGGAAGGUGGGGAUGACGUCAAAUCAUCAUGCCCCUUAUGACCUGGGCUACACACGUGCUACAAUGGAUGGUACAACGAGUUGCGAACUCGCGAGAGUAAGCUAAUCUCUUAAAGCCAUUCUCAGUUCGGAUUGUAGGCUGCAACUCGCCUACAUGAAGUCGGAAUCGCUAGUAAUCGCGGAUCAGCAUGCCGCGGUGAAUACGUUCCCGGGCCUUGUACACACCGCCCGUCACACCAUGAGAGUUUGUAACACCCAAAGUCGGUGGGGUAACCUUUAGGAACCAGCCGCCUAAGGUGGGACAGAUGAUUAGGGUGAAGUCGUAACAAGGUAACCA